RNAcentral lists this ribosomal RNA (445 nucleotides) under uncultured bacterium. RNAcentral describes it as "partial 16S ribosomal RNA". It matches the Rfam family "Bacterial small subunit ribosomal RNA", at positions 354 to 796 of the family's 1533-position model. The record is from RNAcentral.
GUAAGGAAUAUUGGACAAUGGACGCAAGUCUGAUCCAGCCAUGCCGCGUGAAGGAUUAAGGUCCUCUGGAUUGUAAACUUCUUUUAUAAGGGACGAAAAAAGGCUUUUCUAAGUCGUCUGACGGUACCUUAUGAAUAAGCACCGGCUAACUCCGUGCCAGCAGCCGCGGUAAUACGGAGGGUGCAAGCGUUAUCCGGAUUCACUGGGUUUAAAGGGUGCGUAGGCGGGCAGGUAAGUCAGUGGUGAAAUCCUAGAGCUUAACUCUAGAACUGCCAUUGAUACUAUCUGUCUUGAAUAUUGUGGAGGUAAGCGGAAUAUGUCAUGUAGCGGUGAAAUGCUUAGAUAUGACAUAGAGCACCUAUUGCGAAGGCAGCUUACUACGCAUAUAUUGACGCUGAGGCACGAAAGCGUGGGGAUCAAACAGGAUUAGAUACCCGAGUAGUCC